This 465-nucleotide ribosomal RNA is filed under the name uncultured bacterium. RNAcentral describes it as "partial 16S ribosomal RNA". It matches the Rfam family "Bacterial small subunit ribosomal RNA", at positions 28 to 507 of the family's 1533-position model. The record is from RNAcentral.
GACGAACGCUGGCGGCGUGCUUAACACAUGCAAGUCGUACGGUAAGGCCCUUUCGGGGGUCCACGAGUGGCGAACGGGUGAGUAACACGUGAGUAACCUGCCCACAACUUUGGGAUAACGCUAGGAAACUGGUGCUAAUACUGGAUAUGUGCUCCUGCUGCAUGGUGGGGGUUGGAAAGCUCCGGCGGUUGUGGAUGGACUCGCGGCCUAUCAGCUUGUUGGUGGGGUAGUGGCCUACCAAGGCGGCGACGGGUAGCCGGCCUGAGAGGGUGACCGGCCACAUUGGGACUGAGAUACGGCCCAGACACCGACGGGAGGCAGCAGGGGGGAAUAUUGCACAAGGGGCGCAAGCCGGAUGCAGCAACGCCGCGGGCGGGAGGACGGCCUUAGGGUUGGAAACCGAUUUCAGCAGGGACGAAGCUUUUUGUGACGGUACCUGCAGAAGAAGCACCGGCUAACUACGUG